UUAAAAAGCUCGUAGUUGGAUUUCUGUGGGGGCGGACGGCCGGCCGCUACUAGCGGUUCGAGCUAGCGCUUUCCCUACAUCCUGCCGCGAACCGCGCUACCAUUAGUUUGGUGGCGCCGGGGAUCGGCUCGUUUACUUUGAGAAAAAUAGAGUGUUCAAAGCAGGCCACACGCCUUGAAUAAGUUAGCAUGGAAUAAUAACUAAGGACUUCGGUUCUAUUUUGUUGGUGUUCGGGACUGAAGUAAUGAUUGAUAGGGACAGUUGGGGCGGUCCGUAUUCCAAAGCGAGAGGUGAAAUUCUUAGACCUUCGGAAGACGAACAGCUGCGAAAGCGUUCCGCAAGGAUGUUCCCUUUGAUCAAGAACGAAAGUUGGGGGAUCGAAGACGAUCAGAUACCGUCGUAGUCUCAACUAUAAACUAUACCAGCUAGGGAUCGGCCAACGUUACU
Molecule: ribosomal RNA, 447 nt
Filed under: uncultured marine eukaryote
Lineage: Eukaryota
Description: bacterial SSU rRNA
Rfam family: Eukaryotic small subunit ribosomal RNA
Source: RNAcentral